This 50-nucleotide non-coding RNA is filed under the name Scyphosphaera apsteinii. The record is from RNAcentral. Lineage: Eukaryota; Haptophyta; Coccosphaerales; Pontosphaeraceae.
GGAGACUGCCAUCUCCUUCCUGUGGAAGGAUUACAAGCCAGAGUACUUCU